AGUGAACGCUGGCGGUAGGCCUAACACAUGCAAGUCGAACGGCAGCACAGUAAGAGCUUGCUCUUACGGGUGGCGAGUGGCGGACGGGUGAGGAAUACAUCGGAAUCUACUUUUUCGUGGGGGAUAACGUAGGGAAACUUACGCUAAUACCGCAUACGACCUACGGGUGAAAGCAGGGGAUCUUCGGACCUUGCGCGAUUGAAUGAGCCGAUGUCGGAUUAGCUAGUUGGCGGGUUAAAGGCCCACCAAGGCGACGAUCCGUAGCUGGUCUGAGAGGAUGAUCGGCCACACUGGAACUGAGCCACGGUCCAGACUCCUACGGGAGGCAGCAGUGGGGAAUAUUGGACAAUGGGCGCAAGCCUGAUCCAGCCAUACCGCGUGGGUGAAGAAGGCCUUCGGGUUGUAAAGCCCUUUUGUUGGGAAAGAAAAGCAGCAGGUUAAUACCCCGCUGUUCUGACGGUACCCAAAGAAUAAGCACCGGCUAACUUCGUG
This 492-nucleotide ribosomal RNA is filed under the name uncultured bacterium. RNAcentral's name for it is "partial 16S ribosomal RNA". It matches the Rfam family "Bacterial small subunit ribosomal RNA", at positions 29 to 507 of the family's 1533-position model. The record is from RNAcentral.